This 253-nucleotide ribosomal RNA is filed under the name uncultured bacterium. Its description in RNAcentral is "partial 16S ribosomal RNA". It matches the Rfam family "Bacterial small subunit ribosomal RNA", at positions 524 to 776 of the family's 1533-position model. The record is from RNAcentral.
UACGUAGGGUGCAAGCGUUGUCCGGAAUUAUUGGGCGUAAAGAGCUCGUAGGCGGUCUGUCGCGUCGGAUGUGAAAAUCCAGGGCUCAACCCUGGACCUGCAUUCGAUACGGGCAGACUAGAGUUCGGCAGGGGAGACUGGAAUUCCUGGUGUAGCGGUGAAAUGCGCAGAUAUCAGGAGGAACACCGGUGGCGAAGGCGGUUCUCUGGGCAUGACCUGACGCUGAGGAGCGAAAGUGUGGGGAGCGAACAGG